UGGGGAAUCUUCCGCAAUGGACGAAAGUCUGACGGAGCAACGCCGCGUGAGUGAUGACGGCCUUCGGGUUGUAAAGCUCUGUUAAUCGGGACGAAUGGUUCUUGUGCGAAUAGUGCGAGGAUUUGACGGUACCGGAAUAGAAAGCCACGGCUAACUACGUGCCAGCAGCCGCGGUAAUACGUAGGUGGCAAGCGUUGUCCGGAAUUAUUGGGCGUAAAGCGCGCGCAGGCGGAUUGGUCAGUCUGUCUUAAAAGUUCGGGGCUUAACCCCGUGAUGGGAUGGAAACUGCCAAUCUAGAGUAUCGGAGAGGAAAGUGGAAUUCCUAGUGUAGCGGUGAAAUGCGUAGAUAUUAGGAAGAACACCAGUGGCGAAGGCGACUUUCUGGACGAAAACUGACGCUGAGGCGUGAAAGCCAGGGGAGCGAACGGGAUUAGAUACCCCGGUAGUCCUGGCCGUAAACGAUGGGUACUAGGUGUAGGAGGUAUCGACCCCUUCUGUGCCGGAGUUAACGCAAUAAGUACCCCGCCUGGGGAGUACGACCGCAAGGUUG
RNAcentral lists this ribosomal RNA (550 nucleotides) under uncultured bacterium. Its description in RNAcentral is "bacterial SSU rRNA". It matches the Rfam family "Bacterial small subunit ribosomal RNA", at positions 355 to 896 of the family's 1533-position model. The record is from RNAcentral.